This 253-nucleotide ribosomal RNA is filed under the name uncultured bacterium. RNAcentral's name for it is "partial 16S ribosomal RNA". It matches the Rfam family "Bacterial small subunit ribosomal RNA", at positions 524 to 776 of the family's 1533-position model. RNAcentral also lists the same sequence under 1 other name. The record is from RNAcentral.
UACGGAGGGUGCAAGCGUUAUCCGGAUUCACUGGGUUUAAAGGGUGCGUAGGCGGGUUGGUAAGUCAGUGGUGAAAUCUUCAAGCUUAACUUGGAAACUGCCGUUGAUACUAUCAAUCUUGAAUAUUGUGGAGGUAAGCGGAAUAUGUCAUGUAGCGGUGAAAUGCUUAGAUAUGACAUAGAACACCGAUAGCGAAGGCAGCUUGCUACACAGUAAUUGACGCUGAGGCACGAAAGCGUGGGGAUCAAACAGG